CGGGGCAGCAUGGCAGGC
RNAcentral lists this unclassified non-coding RNA (18 nucleotides) under Chlamydomonas reinhardtii. RNAcentral describes it as "small RNA Cre_1335". The record is from RNAcentral. Lineage: Eukaryota; Viridiplantae; Chlorophyta; Chlorophyceae; Chlamydomonadales; Chlamydomonadaceae.